UAGCCUAGUGGUUAAGGCUAUGGAUCACCGAUCCGGAGACGGCGGGUUCGAUUCCCGU
This is a non-coding RNA of Aedes albopictus (Asian tiger mosquito), 58 nucleotides long. NCBI's taxonomy places the organism in Eukaryota, Metazoa, Arthropoda, Insecta, Diptera, Culicidae. The record is from Rfam.